This 512-nucleotide ribosomal RNA is filed under the name uncultured bacterium. RNAcentral's name for it is "partial 16S ribosomal RNA". It matches the Rfam family "Bacterial small subunit ribosomal RNA", at positions 29 to 507 of the family's 1533-position model. The record is from RNAcentral.
ACGAACGCUGGCGGCGUGCUUCACACAUGCAAGUCGAACGCAAAGAGGGAAAGAGCUUGCUCUUUCCGGAAUUGAGUGGCAAACGGGUGAGUAACACGUAAACAACCUGCCUUCAGGAUGGGGACAACAGACGGAAACGACUGCUAAUACCGAAUAAGUUCCAAGAGCCGCAUGGCCCAUGGAAGAAAAGGUGGCCUCUACCUGUAAGCUAUCGCCUGAAGAGGGGUUUGCGUCUGAUUAGCUGGUUGGAGGGGUAACGGCCCACCAAGGCGACGAUCAGUGGCCGGUCUGAGAGGAUGAACGGCCACACUGGAACUGAGACACGGUCCAGACUCCUACGGGAGGCAGCAGUGGGGAAUCUUCCGCAAUGGGCGAAAGCCUGACGGAGCAACGCCGCGUGAGUGAUGACGGCCUUCGGGUUGUAAAACUCUGUGAUCCGGGACGAAAAGGCAGAGUGCGAAGAACAAACUGCAUUGACGGUACCGGAAAAGCAAGCCACGGCUAACUACGUG